Long non-coding RNA from Astatotilapia calliptera (eastern happy), 3739 nucleotides. NCBI's taxonomy places the organism in Eukaryota, Metazoa, Chordata, Actinopteri, Cichliformes, Cichlidae. The record is from Ensembl.
CUAUCCUGUGAGCUAUAAACAAAACAGAGAUGAGGGAAGGACACUACUGAUUCUGAUACAGACUCUGCAUGUGACUGCAAAACCACUGGCACCAAAACACAAAACUUCAAAAGUGAGAACCACAGAGAGAGGAGAGGGAGGGAUGGGGAGGUUGAACUGUGGAUCUCAUCGAUUGGGUCGUCUAUCUCAGAUGUCGCUGGUUGCCAUGGAGGCUUUAUCUCUGAGAUGCUGCUCCAUGUAACAGAUCUGGUGGUGGUUACCGGUGCACUCUCCCACAGUGUUUGGCAAUGGUAGAACUCACUCUGGUGAGUUGGAAGGAUCCGGUGGUUCUAGACUUGCCAACAACUGACUGAGAGCUUUUGCCCAUUCACCCUCCACAAGGGGACUCACUGCAGGACAAGGUGCUUGGAAAAGGGCCAUAACCUUUUUUUUAAAAAAUCCUGGUGUCAAAAAAGGUCAGCAGGUUCAGGUGUCGCUUGUGUGAGUGACUGCAGGCGGAGCAGCAUGGGGUUAAAACUGAUGAUCCCCCCCUGAGCGUUCUUGCAGUCUCAGAACACUUUAGAAAUCUGCAAGGAUGGAGAAAAUUUCCAAUAUUUGGAAGGAACAAGACACAAGGACAAACACUUCUGAAGUCCACCCAGUCUGUCUCUAAACCUCCUGAAGCUGCGAUGCUUCUCAGAGUUUUCUUGAACGCGGUUUGUCGAUCACAAUAUCUAACUCUUCUGUAAUCUCAGGCCUUAAACACUCAAAGUACGAACCAAAGGACACUUUGAUUAUCAGGCCAUGAGACAAUAAUCCAUGUGCAGACCAUUAAGCUUUGAACUGACAAUCAUUUGCCCUGAUUGAGAAAUCAGUAGUGCUCGUUUGUCUGAAAGGAGCAGCUGUAAAUAGCUGUAGCUGCAAAUCUGCUAACAGCAGCAGCAGAUACAGAAGCUGUGCUGAUGGUGCAACCAGAUCUUUCUCAGUCAGGAAAGAACUGAAGUGAAGCGGUGCAAAAUGAUGUUAAACUGAGGCUAGAUGCAUUUGUUACAUUCACAGGGUUGUAACUAUCUUUGAGGGCUUGCAAUAAAAUCCUCAGUUCUACUUUCGGGAAGUUAAAGAGACAAAAGGUGAUGCUUACAAUCUGCAGUUUAACAUACAGUGCACAUAGUGAUAGUGACGUUUGAUAUGUACACUUUUUGAGACCUCUACAUGUUAAAAUAAAGAGUUUAUAUUUCUGAAAUUAUGAUUUUUUGGGAGACUUCCAAGUAAUAAUCGAACCUUUAUGUAGAGAUAGUAUGUUUAAACAGUUAAAUAAACGUCCAAAACAUAAAACAGGUGUUUUACAGCUUGGAAAAUUCCAAUAAAAUGUAUCUAAAAUCUGUUAUGAAAUGAAAUUUGUCUUUAAAUGUUUCCAUCAUUAAACGUAUUAUGUAGAUUUCAGUGUUUCUAUAACGUAAGUAUGCAGAUGUACAAAAAUGAUUUAGCUAAACACCUGAAUUUGAAUAAAAAUGAAGUCAAAACUAGGAAGAACACAUGGUUUAAGAGUGAUGUGGAGAAAAGUGAAAAAUCUGUGUUCUUAAUUUAACACGUCCAUAAAGUAGCUUAAGCUUAUACUGAAGUACAGCGCAUUCAUAAAAGGACAAAACAUAUAGCUGGCAGGGCUUCAUCUGUGCAGCACCGCCGGAGCAAUGAGCGGCUGAUGUAUGUUCAUCAUGUUUCAGUCCGAAUGCCGUGAGAGUCCAUUAUGGCCGACUGCAGAGGACCUGAGGUUAAGUGGUGCCAGAAGAGAGAGGAAAGAGGGAGGCCGACAUGCUGACAGCUGGUACGAGUGAUUAGACCGUGCAGUGAUGCAGGGAAGGCAUCAAAGCUCUUUAGGGAGAAUCCCUUAGUGGGAGGACACAAUGAUACACACACACACACACACACACACACACACACACACACACACACACACACACACACACACACACACACACACACACACACACACACACACACAGAGGAAUGAAAUCCUGAUACACAACUUCCUGGUUGCUAAAACUGCUUACAAACUCAGCUUACCACAUCCAACAGCAUAGGCUGCACUGACCAUCUGUCUUCUGCAGAUGCAUCACCAACCAAUGGAUUAUCAGCAGCUCUGCCCUAGGACACACACCCCUCUUUCACACACAUACUAACCCCCCUCUGAUUUCGAGAGUCUGGUAAUACAACAGAAUGAGUGGUAUCAUUAGAUUAGAUUGGGUGUGGAAGUUAUGGAAGGAUCUCCUCAUUAAUCACACGCGCUAAUGGCAGUUUAAUAGCUGUUGUCUCAACUGCUUCUUUCCGUUGUACAUCACUGUGCAGCUCCUCUGUUACAAUAAAAGUGUUUUAAUCUCAACAGGAUGGUAAGUGUUGAUUCAUUUGAGAUUAUCUCACAAUACAAACGACCAAAAAAUGCUUGAGGAAGUCAAAGAAAAGCUGGGAUUUGGAAGCAAAACUUGUUUUUCGGGUAAAUUUUAUUGUUACGUUAUCAGAGUAUUAGAUGCAGCAUUGUGAGCUUUAGUCUGCUGCCAUAAAGAAUCGUAUUAUAUAGUUAAAGAAGUAUAGAGGCCAUGCACUAUAAACACACACGCGUACAAAGAGGAAGACUGGAUUACAAUAAUCCAGGGACUGGGGGUAUUUUUAGGACUACAUGACCAGAGGCAGACACUUGAGGAAAACAGAUAAUCACUGUCAUAUGACCAGCUGGAUUUUCUGGAUAUACAGUUAAUUACGUAGUGUCUGCGAGGAACACAUGUAGAGCGAAUGAUGUCAGUACAAAAUUAUUUUGACUGCCUCCCUUAGUUAUGUUGCAAUAAGUCAGGGCUGCUGGGGGCUUUAUAUUAGCAAGCCAAAGUGCUCAUAUGGGGUCUAAUUGUUGGGGUUUCUAUGUUUCCCAUGUUUCCCAAGUACUAAGUAAAUUGUUACACUACUCACUACAGUACUUUCUCAUUACUCCAUAAAAUGACCUCAAAUGCAAUGUCUCAUAACUAUCACGUAACAAUAUAAAACUUUAGGCUACAGUCCCACACACUAAUACCAACAUGAAUCCCUAUCCUAAUGAAGACACAUGUACAAUCUUUCUUUUAGUAUUUACAUAUGAACGUGAAGGUGUGACAACAAAAGUAAAGAUUAAAAAAAUCUUUACUUUUGUUUGAACUUAUUGUGAUUGUUUCUGUCCUGGCAACAGUUUGCCCGUUACCAUCACACUUUUGUCCCUUUUCUGGAAUAAAAAUAAAAGUGCUGUCUAUAUUUCUGCUCCUGAAAAGCUGUGUCUCUGUACUGCGCCACAAUUUUCCUCCUCCAGCAUACGAAAUGAAAGCAUCUGAGUGCAGUGCAACCGUGCAGGAAAAAAAAAUGCAUGUUUGCUUUAUGAUUUUUUUUCUAUCGACCUGGCGUGCAGAUAUCUGAAGAAUCUUUGUGGCACAAGUAACAACAUAAAUGCAACUUUAAGGUAAUUACUGAAUUUAGUAAUACAUUCCAUCAAGUUACAGUACUGCACUUUUACCCUAACCUUUAGCAAAGCCUUCACCUUAAAAUUUGGUGAUAUAUGUUAUGGGGACUUAUUGACCUCACAAUGGAGGUAGCCCACAUAUUGUGACUGUGUGGCUUCAUGUCCCCAAAGCACAGUAUUAACACACACACACACACACACACACACACACACACACACACACACACACACACACACACACACACACACACACACACACACACACACACAGGUUUCAGAUACUCC